This is a long non-coding RNA of Mastomys coucha (southern multimammate mouse), 858 nucleotides long. RefSeq lists it as uncharacterized. The record is from RefSeq and is a predicted model, not a curated record. The transcript has 2 exons. Lineage: Eukaryota; Metazoa; Chordata; Mammalia; Rodentia; Muridae.
UUUCUGAAAGCUAGGUUACUGGGAGUUUAUAGAGAUCCGACCGUGGCGCUUUCGCUCUCCUCUCAGACGCUCCAGAUCUAGACUAGGUGAACGCGAUGCUAUGGAGGGACAAAACGCUGGAGCGCGCGGGCGGAAAGCUUGUCUUGGCGGGAUUAGGGCUCUGGAGUCGGGCCCGGCCCGGCAGUCCCCUGAGCUUGAGAGAAUUGAAUGCCUCCUCAAUUGUCACCUAGGCUGAUCUUGCACAGCCUGUUGGCUUCUCGUAGAGUUUGAGUUUUGGACAGUAGGAUGGCUGCAUCGCCCAGACAGGAGAAGAAAAAGAGGAGCCUGCUGGAGAAGUUCUGGAGAAAUUUUUUUUUUUUUUUAUGGUUUACUGAACAUGUGAAGGGAGGUAUUCUUUCUGCCUUGCCCACGUUAUGUUCAGGAAGCAGGCUUGGGAAUGAACCCUGGAGCUGAGACAACUAUCCUGAAACUAUAACAAGCCAGAAGAAUAAAUAAACCCCAGUUUCUUGCAUCCUGGGUGAUGUAUUUAGUGAAUAGCCUAGGGGGCCGAACAAUCUGCAUUAAAGCUUGCUGAAGAUAUGUGAGACAGAGACAACUGGGAUUGUGGCAGCUCUCCAAAAAGGAUGUCAUGCCCGGUGAAAGCAGACAAAGUCAAAUAGAGUGGAGUUCUGGUUUGUAUUUUUGUUUUUAUCAGACAACCUCAGUGUAUAGCCUAUGACUUUCUUUAAACUGGUGUUUCUCUGAGCCCUCUGAGUACUAGGAAUGCAGGUAUGCACUGUCGGGUUGAGGUACAUUUCUAAUAUAAAAUAAACCUGUAAUGCUUUACGUAACACUAAAAAUAAAAGGCCAUUUUGUACA